Molecule: ribosomal RNA, 475 nt
Filed under: uncultured bacterium
Lineage: Bacteria
Description: bacterial SSU rRNA
Rfam family: Bacterial small subunit ribosomal RNA
Source: RNAcentral
UAGCGGCAGGCUUAACACAUGCAAGGUCAGGGGCAGCACGGGUAGCAAUACCUGGUGGCGACCGGCGCAAGGGUGCGUAACGCGUGAGCAACAUGCCCUAUACAGGGGGAUAAUCCAGGGAAACUUGGUCUAAUAUCCCAUAGUAUUUAGAGGAGGCAUCUUCUAUAAAUUAAAGCUUCGGUGGUAUAGGAUUGGCUCGCGUGACAUUAGCUAGAUGGUGAGGUAACGGCUCACCAUGGCAAUGAUGUCUAGGGGUUCUGAGAGGAAGGCCCCCCACACUGGGACUGAGACACGGCCCAGACUCCUACGGGAGGCAGCAGUGAGGAAUAUUGGACAAUGGAUGGAAAUCUGAUCCAGCCAUGCCGCGUGCAGGAAGACAGCCCUAUGGGUUGUAAACUGCUUUUAUAUGGGAGCAAUAAGGUCUACGUGUAGACUGAUGAGAGUACCAUAUGAAUAAGCAUCGGCUAACUCCGUG